Long non-coding RNA from Amphiprion ocellaris (clown anemonefish), 678 nucleotides. RefSeq lists it as uncharacterized. The transcript is spliced from 2 exons. NCBI's taxonomy places the organism in Eukaryota, Metazoa, Chordata, Actinopteri, Pomacentridae. The record is from RefSeq and is a predicted model, not a curated record.
AACCACGCCUCGGCACAGUGGCUCUAUACGUUUGCUUCAUGAGCUACAGCGCAUGUGUCGAAGCCUCGGGUAUCAGAGGGCCAUCACUAUUGACAGGUCCUAUGGAGGAGGCAGCAGAGACUCUGCUCUCCUCGUUUGGAUUAAUUCUGAUAUAAUAACUGUUGGUUUAUUUAUCGGUGAAGCAGCAGAACAUUUUCCAUAGACAAUUUUCCUGCCCGUUGGGUUGUUUUAACCAGUUUUCUGCCUUCGGCUGAUUCUACCAGCAGACACUGAAAGGACUCAGUGUCUCAUGUUCACUGUGAGAAUCUUCUGAGUGAAGCCAACAGAAGGAAAACCUCAUCUGGUUGUGAAGAAGGAGACUGACUGGACGACAUCAUCAGUGAAUCACUUCCUGAUUAGAUUUCACUUAUAGAAGGACAGACCAACUCAGCAGUUUAUUAUUCUCUGUUCUUAGUAUUCAGGGGUUCUAUUUAUCACCUUUAACUCCAUCUCUGCUGUUGGAGCAGAAAUACAAUCUAAAAAGUCCAUGUUAUUUGUAUCAGAUAUGCAGCAUUAAAACAUCAACACAUUCAGGUUAAGAGCUUCAUUAUUAUCUUUAUUGCAUAUUUAAAAACUAAAUUGUUUAACUAUUGUGAACUGUAAAGAUGUGUAAACACAUGAAAUAAAUGGAUGAAAUAA